RNAcentral lists this ribosomal RNA (743 nucleotides) under Clostridioides difficile. RNAcentral describes it as "partial 23S ribosomal RNA". It matches the Rfam family "Bacterial large subunit ribosomal RNA", at positions 1 to 747 of the family's 2925-position model. Lineage: Bacteria; Bacillati; Bacillota; Clostridia; Peptostreptococcales; Peptostreptococcaceae. The record is from RNAcentral.
UGGUCAAGUUAUUAAGGGUGCAGGGCGGAUGCCUUGGCACUAGGAGCCGAUGAAGGACGUGAUAAGCUGCGAUAAGCUUCGGGGAGUUGCACGUAAACUUUGAUCCGAAGAUUUCCGAAUGAGGAAACUCACUUAGAGUAAUGUCUAAGUAUCAUUAAGUGAAUACAUAGCUUAAUGAGGGGAACUCAGGGAACUGAAACAUCUAAGUACCUGAAGGAAGAGAAAGAAAUUCGAUUCCGUAAGUAGCGGCGAGCGAACGCGGAUUAGCCCAAACCAAUAAAGUUUUCUUUAUUGGGGUUGCGGACAUAUCAUAACGAAGAGGUAUCGUAAUUGAAGAGGUUUGGAAAGACCCACCACAGAAGGUAAUAGUCCUGUAUGUUAAACGAGAAGACUUCAGAUAUGAUCCAGAGUACCACGGGACACGUGAAACCCUGUGGGAAGCAGGAGGGACCACCCUCCAAGGCUAAAUACUACCUAGUGACCGAUAGCGUAUAGUACCGUGAGGGAAAGGUGAAAAGAACCCCGGGAGGGGAGUGAAAUAGAACCUGAAACCCUGCACUUACAAGCUGUGGAAGCACAUUUCUUGUGUGACCGCGUACUUUUUGUAGAACGGGCCAACGAGUUACGUUAAGUAGCAAGGUUAAGCACUUAAGGUGUGGAGCCGUAGCGAAAGCGAGUUUUAACUGAGCGUUCAGUUACUUGACGUAGACCCGAAACCGGGCGACCUACCCAUGAGCAGGAUG